UUAAGAAAGAAAGAGCAUACGGUGGAUGCCUAGGCACUAAGAGCCGAAGAAGGACGUGGUAAGCUGCGAAAAGUUAUGGUUAGCUGCAAACGAGCAUAGAUCCAUAAAUAUCCGAAUGGGGAAACCUGGCCAUUUAGGUGGUCACAGAGAAAUCUGAGGGAACGUAGGGAACUGAAACAUCUAAGUACCUAUAGGAAGAGAAAGCAAAAGCGAUUUUCUAAGUAGCGGCGAGCGAACGGGAAAGAGUCCAAACCGACGAAAGUCGGGGUAAGGUUAAUCGACGUGAGACAAUAGAUAGAGACGAAUAGUUUGGGAAAACUAACCGAAGAAGGUGAAAGUCCAGUAGUUAAUGUUGACGAUAUCUAGAUUAUACCAGAGUACUACGAGGCACGAGGAAUCUUGUAGGAAAGAGGGAGGCCCAUCUCCUAAGACUAAAUACUACUUAGUGACCGAUAGAGAAUAGUACCGUGAGGGAAAGGUGAAAAGAACCCCGGGAGGGGAGUGAAAUAGAAACUGAAACCGUAUGUUUACAAGCAGUGGAAGAGCAAUCGACCACGUACUUUUUGUAGAACGGGCCAACGAGUUACGUUAUGUAGCGAGGUUAAGGUGUUAAGCACUGGAGCCGAAGGGAAACCGAGUUUUAAUAGAGCGAGAGUUAUAUGACGUAGACCCGAAACCAAGUGACCUAUCCAUGGGCAGGAUGAAGCGAAGGUAAAACUUCGUGGAAGACCGCACCCGUAUCUGUUAAAAAAGGUAGGGAUGACCUGUGGAUAGCGGAGAAAUUCCAAUCGAACUUGGAGAUAGCUGGUUCUCCCCGAAAUAGCUUUAGGGCUAGCCUUAAGUGGAAGAGUAAUUGAGGUAGAGCACUGACUACCUGCGGGGGCUUCACCGCCUACCAAGGGUUAUCAAACUACGAAUGCGAAAGACUUAAACUUAGGAGUCAGACUAUGUAUGAUAAGAUGCAUGGUCGAGAGGGAAAGAGCCCAGAACUCCUGCUAAGGUCCCGAAAUGUAAAUUAAGUGGAAAAGGAUGUAAAAAUGCAUAGACAACUAGGAUGUUGGCUUAGAAGCAGCCAUACAUUUAAAGAGUGCGUAAUAGCUCACUAGUCGAGUGGAUUUGCGCCGAAGAUAUCCGGGGCUAAAAUUUACUACCGAAGCAGAGUCAUAGAAAUAUGGGUAGGGGAGCAUUGUAAUGAGGACGAAGUAAAAUCGUAAGGUUUUAUGGACGAGUUAGAAGAGAGAAUGUUGGCAUAAGUAACGAGAGUGAGGUGAGAAUCCUCACGGCCGAAACCCUAAGGUUUCCUGAGGAAGGUUCGUCCACUCAGGGUAAGUCAGGACCUAAGCCUAAGCCGAAAGGUGAUGGUGAUGGACAACAGGUAAAAAUUCCUGUACUGAUACUAAUUGAUUGAAAGAAGCGAUGACGCAGAAGGAGAAGCUAAGCACACGGACGGAAGAGUGUGUCCAAGCAGCGAGAUAGUUUAGAAGUUAAAGGGUCUAGAUAAAGUUGAGCUGUGAAGGGGAGUGAAAAAUAAGUAACGAAGUAGCAAAAAUCACGCUGACAAGAAAAGUUGCUAUUUAGAUUAGUAUCACCUGUACCGAGAACCGACACAGGUGGGGAAGUAGAGAAUACUAAGGCAAGCGAGGAAACUAUCGUUAAGGAACUCGGCAAAAUGAUCCCGUAACUUAGGGAGAAGGGAUACCAAUCGUAAGAUUGGUCGCAGAGAGCAGAUCCAAGCAACUGUUUACCAAAAACACAGGUCUAUGCGAAAUCGAGAGAUGAAGUAUAUGGGCUGACGCCUGCCCGGUGCUGGAAGGUUAAGAGGAAGUGUUAGCGCAAGCAAAGCAGAGAAUCGAAGCCCCAGUAAACGGCGGCCGUAACUAUAACGGUCCUAAGGUAGCGAAAUUCCUUGUCGGGUAAGUUCCGACCCGCACGAAAGGCGCAAUGAUUUGGAUACUGUCUCAACGAUGGACUCGGUGAAAUUGUAGUACCGGUAAAGAUGCCGGUUACCCGCAGCAGGACGGAAAGACCCCGUGGAGCUU
Molecule: ribosomal RNA, 2039 nt
Filed under: oral metagenome
Description: bacterial LSU rRNA
Rfam family: Bacterial large subunit ribosomal RNA
Source: RNAcentral